Tympanuchus pallidicinctus (lesser prairie-chicken) is the source of this 3060-nucleotide long non-coding RNA. RefSeq lists it as uncharacterized. Lineage: Eukaryota; Metazoa; Chordata; Aves; Galliformes; Phasianidae. The record is from RefSeq and is a predicted model, not a curated record. The transcript is spliced from 4 exons.
ACGGGGCCAGGCUGCACUCGGCGGUGCCCUGCAGCGGGACCGGAGGCACUGGGCACAUGCUGCAGCGCAGCAGGUUUCCCCGCAGGGCUGCCACAGCCGCGCUGCUUCCCCGUUUUGGGUAACACUACUGGACAUGUAUGGCUGGGCUAACGAGACCCCACUGUGGCACGCAUGCUAGGAGGAGCGAUCCCCCUUGCGCCCGGCGUGUGGCGCAGCGCUGAAAGAAAGACGUCUCUGCUCUCCUAACCUGGCGUAGGUUCGAGAGUUUGAUUCCGCAGAGCAGUUGGGCACCCCAGAUGGGACACUCUCUGUUCGGCUGCAGGACCAGUUGAGGAGGGAGACGCCUUUGGCGCGCCCCGAGAAUUCUUGGAAGGACUCCCCCUGCUCAUCCGAUCACCGCGGGGACAGACGGGGACCAUCUGGAAGCGGACCAGAUGCACGAUUUCAGGCCAGCCUCUGUUUUCUGUAAGACUCCGUUAUUAAAGUGUAUUUGCAUGCAGUGGCUGUGAAGUUCAAGGUCCUGGCGACAGAUUGCAUUGAGGACCAGGUCAGAAGACCUGGAAAAUGGGGCCUUGUCAACUCCUUUGACUGCUUCUUUAAACGAGUCCUGGCAGAUGGCUGCUCAGAGCUGUAUUCUCUGCUUUAUUGAUGUGCACAUAAAAGACUGGUGCUGCAGCUGACUGCAGGUCCUGUUAUUCCAUCCCCACAAAAGAUAUUCUGAGAAUCUGUGUUUUUCUGUUCCUAUUAUUAGUGUUACUUCAUUAUUAGGAUGAUAGCUUAUUGAGGAACGUAGACUGCUCUGAAAGGAAUGCCUCCUAUUUAUUUCCACAGAAAUGACAACGGAUACAUAGGGCGAGUUCUCAACUACAAAGCUGUUUUUCAACAUGGUCACCACCAUUAACUAUCGUUUUGUUGGUUUUUGUUUUUUUCUUCCAGUGUUGAGUGAGAGCCUGCGUGCUGUGCUUGUUUAAAAAGAAAUCAUAAUAAUUAAAAUAGAUCCUUUUGCUGUCUGGGUGGCUCGUCUUGCAUUGCUGCGCCACUGCUGAAAUGCACCACCACUGCUUCACUGCACUCACCUCCACGUGUCGGGCUUCAUAAAUGUUCUGCAGGCAUUGAUGGAUGUCAGUGGUGCGAUUUUUUCAGUGUGGAGGAGUUCAGGGACACCCUGUGCUCCAUGAGCACUUCCGAGCUUGGUGCUGUGCUGUCAUUCUGGCCCUCUGCUGCCGUCUGUGGCACGGCUGCAAACUGUAACUGAGUGCUGGCAGGAAGGUUCAGCCUCUGCUGUCAUCCCACCAGCGUCCACCUGUGAUGUUGUGGGCCGGCUUUAUAGGACAGGAGGCAUUACUUUUGGAUCAGCCCUUGUGUAGUUAUGAAAAAUUAAGGUUUAUAAAGGCUGGCUGAGUAAAUUGGUGGCUGCUAAUGAGAUCCACAACUACAGGAAAACAGUAGUUAGACACUGACAGCUUUCAAGGUCAGUUUAGAUUACCUGGCUGUGUUGGGUUAUUUUUUAUUUAAUGUUGUGUUUCAUUGCAGUAUUUUCUGAAAAAUCCUCAAGUGUGGCAUUCCGAAUCUGCCAACUCUGGUAUUCUUGAGCAACUCCAUCCUGUAAAGCAGAUACACGCUUUGAGAGUAGUGAUUGACGUGGUUCCAGCGUGACAGUGCAGGACAUGGCUGUCCUUUUCCAUCUUCAGGCCCACCUUACUGCCUUUUCAUCCUGUGCACUGAAUUGCAGUGGCAUGUCAGUAUCGAAUCCCUCAGCACUGUGCUGAGCCUCACCUUACUCAUACUCACCCACUGGACGUUACUCAGCUUUAGCAAUCAUGUUUCUGCUACAGAAGGGCUUGCCGGAUAUCUGUAGUAUUGAUCCGGCCCGAAGGUGACAACCUUCCAACCUGCUGGUCUCUGCCCAUGUUCUCUGUCACAACAUCGGAUGUGUGUGCUCGCUGGAUGCACUGGUAAGAAAUGUUUUUGAGAAGAGAACCUCGUGCUUCCCAGAGCAGUAAGACUGUGAGGAUUUGGGAGGCCCUUCACAAACCUGGUUAGAGUGUGCUUUCCGAAACGGCGUGCUGUUAAAGCAGCCUUUCUCAAAAGCAGAGCGUUGUGCCUGGUGUGACUUAAAUCCCACCCACAAAGGAGCAUUCCCUGCAGUCUCUGAUCUCAGGUGCGUGUUUCCCCCACUGCUGGAACUGCUGGACUUUCACGCCUUCACUGUGUGUGUUUGGGUCUCUUUAUUAGCUCUGUUUGUUCUACUAGCUGUAUGCAAACGUAUCAGGAGGUAAUGAAAAGAUCUUUGAAAAUAGCUUGGAGAUAUUAACCUGAGGCAAGAAGGUGAAUUUUACUGCCUUAAAUUAGGUUUCAGAGGAUGUCCUUGAACUCAGAAGCUUGGGCUUUGUUGUAGCCUGAUAUUUACUGCUUGAACUUUAACUCUAGGACUGGAGGGGGAGCUUUUCUUCACACCUUCCUGUGUAUGAAAUCUACACUUGAACUGCACUCGAGACGGGCAGAAAUGUAGCUGAGCAGAGCCUCCAGCAGCUCAGCCCUUUCCUUCAGACUAUGAAGAUGGCUUUAAUAUUCUAGGAUGAAUUUCCCAGCCUUUCUGUUUCAUCUGAUCCACAACCAAUGCCAGCAUUUGUUGCACCCCUUCUUUGGUUUCCCUGAGUCAGGACGUCAUCUACGUAAUGAACUGUUUGCAUGUGAGGAGGCAGUUUGGUGUCAUGCAGAUGUUCAGCCACAGUUCUGUGGCAGAUGGUUGGGCUGUGCAGCCGUCCCUGAGGCAAUCUACAGACAGGAUCUUGUCACCUCUGCCACGGGAAGGCGUUCCUCUGCAAUCAGGAUCGUGAAGAAGCUAGCAUUAGCUAAAUCAAUUACAGCAUGCCCUGUUCUGAAUGGUUCUGAGCUUUUUCUGUUAAAGCAACACUACCUGCUACAGCCGCUGUGUGAGGCGGGAUGAGCUUGUUUAAUUCCUCCCACAACCCACCGCUUUUUGACAGGCCAUGUUGGAUUGUUCCGAGCUGUAGUAGCUGACUUAAAACUCCUGCACCCAAUAAAUCAUUAAUUGUC